CACGAUUCCCAUUCCAUCCCAAAAGGACUCAUUGUUCCGACAUAAUUAUGAGUGUGCCGUUAUGCAAAGAGCCAAUUUAGAAUGGUUAGUUCUGGCUUUUAAAUUUUACAUAACUACAAUUUACCACAAUUGCAAAUUAAAAAUUAGGCUCCCUACUGCAUUAAAAAUUAGGCUCCCUUUUUGGAAGGAUUUUUGUGCAUCUAGGAAGCCAUAACCGGCAAUUUAUUUCAGAUUAAACAGACUGGCAUUGAUUUCAAUUAAGACAAAAUAUCAUAAACAUAGAAAACCCUGUCAACCGAGUUUGUGUACAAAAUACAGUAAUAAGG
This is a non-coding RNA of Paramuricea clavata, 326 nucleotides long. NCBI's taxonomy places the organism in Eukaryota, Metazoa, Cnidaria, Anthozoa, Malacalcyonacea, Plexauridae. The record is from the annotation of a GenBank genome assembly.